RNAcentral lists this ribosomal RNA (1467 nucleotides) under Salmonella enterica subsp. enterica. Its description in RNAcentral is "bacterial SSU rRNA". It matches the Rfam family "Bacterial small subunit ribosomal RNA". Lineage: Bacteria; Pseudomonadati; Pseudomonadota; Gammaproteobacteria; Enterobacterales; Enterobacteriaceae. The record is from RNAcentral.
UUGAAAGAAGUUUGAUCAUGGCUCAAGAUUGAACGCUGACGCUUCUUUAUGCAAGUCGAACGCGGUAACGGAAGCAGCUUGCUGCUUACUUCGCUGACAGUGGACGGGUGAAAAUUUAAUGUCUGGAAACUGCCUGGGGAUAACUACUGGAAACAUUUGGCUAUACCGCAUAACGUCGCAAGACCAAGAGGGGACCUUCGGGCCUCUUGCCAUCAGAUAUUGCCCAGAUAAGGUUGCUUGUUGGUGAGUAACGGCUCACCAAGGCGACGAUCCUAGCGGUCUGAAGGAUGACCAGCACUGGAACUGAGACACGGUCGAACUCCCUACGGGAGGCAGCAGUGAAGAAUAUUGCACAAUGGGCGCAAGCCUGAUGAUAAACCAUGCCGCGUGUAUGAAGAGAGCUGGGGUUUGGCAAAGUACUCCGGCGGGGAGGAAGGUGUUGUGGUUAAUAACCGCAGCAGUGACGUUACCCGCAGAAGCACCGGCUAACUCCGUGCUGGCGGCCGCGCGGUAUGCGAGGAGGUGCAAGCGUUAAUCGGAAUUACUGGGCAAUGCAAAGCGCACGCAGGCGGUCUGUCAAGUCGGAUGUAAAUCCCCGGGCUCAACACGAGACUGCAUUCUAACUGGCAGGCUUGAAGGUCAACAGCAGAGGUAGGAAUUCGAGGUGGCAGCGGUGAGAAAUGCGUGAGAGAUCUGGAGGAAUACCGGUGGCAGGCAUUUGGACAAGACGACGCUCCAGGUGCAGCGGCAGAACAGAAACAGUUGAAUACUGGUAGUCCACGCGUAAACGAUGUCUACUUGGAGGUUGUGCCCUUGAGGCGUGGCCUUCCGAACUAGCGUUAGAAGUAGACCGCACGGGUACGGCGCAAGGUUAAACUCAAAUGAAUUGACGGGGGCCCACUACAAGCGGUGGAGCAUGGUUUAAUUCGACAACGCGAAGAACACAGUGCUUGACAUCCACGGAAGUUUUCAGAGAUGAGAAUGUGCCUUCGGGAACCGUGAGACAGGUGCUGCAUGGCAUCGUCAGCUCGAAAUGUUGGGUUAAGUCCCGCAACGGUAACCCUUAUCGCGCAUUCCAGCGGUGGGAACUCAAAAGGAGACUGCCAGUAUAAACUGGAGGAAGGUGGGGAUGACGUCAAGUCAUCAUGGCCUUACGACGAGGGGCUACACGUGCUACAAUAGCGCGCCAAGAGAAGCGACCUCGCGAGCAAGCGGACCUCAUAAAGUGCGUCGUAGUCCGGAUUGGAGUCUGCAACUCGACUCCAUGAAGUCGGAAUCGCUGGUCGUGGAUCAGAAUGCCACGGUGAAUACCGUUCCCGGGCGCUCGCCCGUCACCAUGGGAGUGGGUUGCAAAAAGAGUAGGUAGCUUAACCUUCCGGGGAGGCACACUUCUUCAUGAGCUAGAAGGUAAGUCAUGCUCACAUAAAAUUGUAACCGUAGGGGAACCUGCGGUUGGACACCUCCUUA